RNAcentral lists this transfer RNA (87 nucleotides) under Oscillospiraceae bacterium. RNAcentral's name for it is "tRNA-Leu". It matches the Rfam family "tRNA". From Rfam's summary of the family: Transfer RNA (tRNA) molecules are approximately 80 nucleotides in length. Their secondary structure includes four short double-helical elements and three loops (D, anti-codon, and T loops). Further hydrogen bonds mediate the characteristic L-shaped molecular structure. tRNAs have two regions of fundamental functional importance: the anti-codon, which is responsible for specific mRNA codon recognition, and the 3' end, to which the tRNAs corresponding amino acid is attached (by aminoacyl-tRNA synthetases). tRNAs cope with the degeneracy of the genetic code in two manners: having more than one tRNA (with a specific anti-codon) for a particular amino acid; and 'wobble' base-pairing, i.e. permitting non-standard base-pairing at the 3rd anti-codon position. The record is from RNAcentral. Lineage: Bacteria; Bacillati; Bacillota; Clostridia; Eubacteriales; Oscillospiraceae.
GCGGAUGUGGCGGAAUUGGCAGACGCGCUAGAUUCAGGUUCUAGUGAUAGCAAUAUCCUGUGGGUUCAACUCCCAUCAUCCGCACCA